GAUGAAGAACGCAGCGAAAUGCGAUACGUAAUGUGAAUUGCAGAAUUCAGUGAAUCAUCGAAUCUUUGAACGCAUAUUGCGCUCUCUGGUAUUCCGGAGAGCAUGCUUGUUUGAGUAUCAGUAAACACCUCAACUCCCCUUUCUUUUUUUGAAAUGGGAGCUGGACUUGAGUGAUCCCAACGCUUUUCUCACCGAAAAGUGGCGGGUUACUUGAAAUGCAGGUGCAGCUGGACUUUUCUCUGAGCUAAAAGCAUAUCUAUUUAGUCUGCCUAAAAAACAGAUUAUUACCUUUGCUGCAGCUAACAUAAAGGAGAUUAGUUCUUGUGCUGACUGAUGCAGGAUUCACAGAGACAGCUUCGGCUGGCAUUUGUAAACUCGAUCUCAAAUCAAGUAAGACUACCCGCUGAACUUAAGCAUAUCAAUAAGCGGAGGA
Molecule: unclassified non-coding RNA, 433 nt
Filed under: soil metagenome
Description: partial contains 5.8S ribosomal RNA, internal transcribed spacer 2, and large subunit ribosomal RNA
Rfam family: 5.8S ribosomal RNA (bases 1-120)
Source: RNAcentral